This 253-nucleotide ribosomal RNA is filed under the name uncultured bacterium. RNAcentral's name for it is "partial 16S ribosomal RNA". It matches the Rfam family "Bacterial small subunit ribosomal RNA", at positions 524 to 776 of the family's 1533-position model. The record is from RNAcentral.
UACGUAGGGUGCAAGCGUUAAUCGGAAUUACUGGGCGUAAAGCGUGCGCAGGCGGUUGUGCAAGACAGAUGUGAAAUCCCCGGGCUCAACCUGGGAAUUGCAUUUGUGACUGCACGGCUAGAGUGCGGCAGAGGAGACUGGAAUUCCUGGUGUAGCAGUGAAAUGCGUAGAUAUCAGGAGGAACACCGAUGGCGAAGGCAGGUCUCUGGGCUGACACUGACGCUCAUGCAUGAAAGCGUGGGGAGCAAACAGG